Long non-coding RNA from Cavia porcellus (domestic guinea pig), 388 nucleotides. RefSeq lists it as uncharacterized. Lineage: Eukaryota; Metazoa; Chordata; Mammalia; Rodentia; Caviidae. The transcript has 3 exons. The record is from RefSeq and is a predicted model, not a curated record.
GUUUGCUGUUUUGCAGCCACCAUGAACUGCAGCCCAGCCAUGCCCUCCUGCCUUGGAGCCGACUGAGUGUGGACUGAAACCUCCAAAAACUCCACCAUGAACUGCGCCCCACCAUGCCACCCUGCCUCGGAGCCAACUGAGUGUGGACUGAAACCUCCAAAAACUGCAACACUUUGUGUGUUAAAUCAUACAAGAUCAGCACUUAAAUCAGCAUUGGAAACUCACUGGGAAGAUGGUCAUUUCUGAAUCAGCAAGACGUGAUUAGUGACAAGAAGUUAUCUGAGAACUACAAGAACUCUUUUUUUUGCUUUUGUAAGAUAUUAUGCAUAUAAACGGAAUGACCAGAGAGUCUGUUUUUGUUUGUUAAUUGAUAGUACGAUACAGAAAA